GAUGAACGCUGGCGGCGUGCCUAGUACAUGCAAGUCGAGCGAACAGACGAGGAGCUUGCUCCUCUGACGUUAGCGGCGGACGGGUGAGUAACACGUGGAUAACCUACCUAUAAGACUGGGAUAACUUCGGGAAACCGGAGCUAAUACCGGAUAAUAUAUUGAACCGCAUGGUUCAAUAGUGAAAGACGGUGUUGCUGUCACUUAUAGAUGGAUCCGCGCCGCAUUAGCUAGUUGGUAAGGUAACGGCUUACCAAGGCGACGAUGCGUAGCCGACCUGAGAGGGUGAUCGGCCACACUGGAACUUAGCCACGGUCCAGACUCCUACGGGAGGCAGCAGUAGGGAAUCUUCCGCAAUGGGCGAAAGCCUGACGGAGCAACGCCGCGUGAGUGAUGAAGGUCUUCGGAUCGUAAAACUCUGUUAUUAGGGAAGAACAAAUGUGUAAGUAACUAUGCACGUCUUGACGGUACCUAAUCAGAAAGCCACGGCUAACUACGUG
Molecule: ribosomal RNA, 497 nt
Filed under: uncultured bacterium
Lineage: Bacteria
Description: partial 16S ribosomal RNA
Rfam family: Bacterial small subunit ribosomal RNA
Source: RNAcentral